AGGACGAAAAGCAGAGGAGGAAGACGAGCUCGUGAGAGAUGGCGCGUUUUCGCGGCUGGAUGGCGCACGGCGGGGCCGAGCGGGGCUGCGGGGCUGCUGGGCCAACUUGGCUGGGCCGACUAGGGCCGAAAGGUAAGGGAAGUUUCUUUUCUUUUUCCUUUUUCCUUUUUCUGUUUUCUCUUUUGCAAAUAGCUUUUGAUUCAAAAUUCAAAUACCAUUUUGAAGAGCUGAGAAAUAGGAGAACUCAAAUAUGGCACUAAUAUUUGGGAGUAUUC
RNAcentral lists this long non-coding RNA (275 nucleotides) under Brachypodium distachyon (stiff brome). Its description in RNAcentral is "long non-coding RNA (BDIS_LNC003370)". The record is from RNAcentral. Lineage: Eukaryota; Viridiplantae; Streptophyta; Magnoliopsida; Poales; Poaceae.